AUUGAACGCUGGCGGCAGGCCUAACACAUGCAAGUCGAGCGGAUGACGGGAGCUUGCUCCUUGAUUCAGCGGCGGACGGGUGAGUAAUGCCUAGGAAUCUGCCUGGUAGUGGGGGACGACGUUUCGAAAGGAACGCUAAUACCGCAUACGUCCUACGGGAGAAAGCAGGGGACCUUCGGGCCUUGUGCUAUCAGAUGAGCCUAGGUCGGAUUAGCUAGUUGGUGGGGUAAUGGCUCACCAAGGCGACGAUCCGUAACUUGUCUGAGAGGAUGAUCAGUCACACUGGAACUGAGACACGGUCCAGACUCCUACGGGAGGCAGCAGUGGGGAAUAUUGGACAAUGGGCGAAAGCCUGAUCCAGCCAUGCCGCGUGUGUGAAGAAGGUCUUCGGAUUGUAAAGCACUUUAAGUUGGGAGGAAGGGCAGUAAGUUAAUACCUUGCUGUUUUGACGUUACCGACAGAAUAAGCACCGGCUAACUCUGUGCCAGCAGCCGCAGUAA
RNAcentral lists this ribosomal RNA (500 nucleotides) under uncultured bacterium. RNAcentral's name for it is "partial 16S ribosomal RNA". It matches the Rfam family "Bacterial small subunit ribosomal RNA", at positions 30 to 523 of the family's 1533-position model. The record is from RNAcentral.